Molecule: long non-coding RNA, 7373 nt
Filed under: Hordeum vulgare
Lineage: Eukaryota; Viridiplantae; Streptophyta; Magnoliopsida; Poales; Poaceae
Description: long non-coding RNA (HVUL_LNC004136)
Source: RNAcentral
GAUUGUGGUGGGUAUAUGGUGGUGGUAUAUGGUAGCAAGGAUAAUGGUGGCGUGGUGGGGGUAUAUGGCAGCAGCGAUGAUGCUAGCGUGGAGGUGGUAUAUGGCACCAACGCUGAUGGUAGCGUGGAGGUGAUAUAUGGCACCGAUGAAAGACGGUGCGGCGGCGGCGUGACAACCUGUCAACAUAACCUGAAACUCUAAAGGACUAGAUACUAAGACCAGCAGCUCAACACGACGAUGUAACCGCAAAUUCAACUAAGCAAACUACUGAAAAGACUAUACAAAGGCUCAGAUUGGUUCGGAUAUGAUGAUCUAACCCUAAUUGUUUUUAUGGAUUUUUCGUGGACGAUAGGUAUAAAUAACAGAUGCGAUCUAACUACGAUAAACUGGUAAAAUCUCACCGAGCAACCUGGAAAUCUGAUACCACUUGAUAGAGGCGAAGUUGUCCCUGUCUUUCGAGGAAAUCGUGGGAAUCGUUUUGGUGGAGUAGCCUUUGACGAUCCGACUACAAACGUGCGAGGACGUCGCGCCUUAGCAAUCUCUAAACCAACUCCGAGAGGUUAUUGACCACGCCAGAGCACGAUCAACCUGACCACGAAGGUCUGUUUUCUGCACGCAAACAAAGAACAAGCAAGAAACCAAGAUGCAAUCAACAUAUUGCGAGUAGAAGAGGAAAGAUUUAUUGAUGAAGGUGGGGUUCUGUGACGCCUUUGUCUGGUCGUAGAACACAAACGAAGAACACGAAGUUGCAGCUAUGGCGAACUUGUAAUCUAAACAAAACCCAAGUCUAAACGAUGCCCUAAGGGUUGUAUAUAUGAGGGAAUAGAGAGGCAAUUUCGUGACCCUUGGAGGAGGGGUCCGAAAACAGCCCUAAACUCGGUUUCCCCACACGUUCGUACUGUAAAAAUAGCCUAUAUUAUGGUAUUUUGAAAUUACAUGGGCCUGGCCCAAAAAUAAGGUGGCGCAACACCUAUAAUAGCCUAUGGACGAAAUUUAUAAGGCGACGUCUUGAAUAUUUUGCCCAAAGCCUUCAUGCUUCCUUAUGGUGGCUUUAAAGAGCGAAAAUCACGAGUGGAAGCUCCAUUGUUCUCUCCCGCGCGUGCACCUUCUUCUCCAUGCUUGAUCCCGCUCCAACGGAUAUCUUUCUUAUCCAUGCUAGGUCCUUCAUUCAUGAGAACAACAAAAGUAUCUAACUUAGGCAGCAUCAUAUGUUCAUGAACAUUAGAAGUAUUCCCAAGAAAUGAAAGUACCUGGUAAUUCAAUUGGCGUGCACGAGCUCUAGUAACUGGUCCAGUAUGUAUAGCAGCUGGGGCUGUGGGUGUAACAACGGUGUUGAUGUCCUCAUCAUCUAGCGUCACCGAACCUUAACUGUGUAGACCCUGCGGGACCGAGACAUCUCUCCGGCCAAUAACCAACAAUAGUGUCUGGAUAUCCAUGUUCGCUCCCACAUGUUCUACGAUGAUCUCAUUGGAUGAACCACAAUGUCGAGGAUUCUCUCAAUCCCGUAUACAAUUCCCUUUGUGUGCCGGUAUGACACUUGCCCGAGAUUCGAUCAUCGUAUCCCUAUACCUUGUUCAAUCUUGUUAUCGGCAAGUCUCUUUUCUCGUUCCCUAACAAAUCAUCCCGUGGCUAACUCCUUAGUCACACUGAGCUCAUUAUGAUGAUGCAUUACCGAGUGGGCCUAGAGAUACCUCUCCGUCACACGGAGCGACAAAUCCCAGUCUCGAUUCGUACCAACCCAACAGACACUUUCGAAGAUACCUAUAGUGCACCUUUAUAAUCGCCCAGUUACAUUGUGAUAUUUGGUACACCCAAAGCAGUCUUACGGCAUCCAGGAGUUGCACAAUCUCAUGGUCUAAAGAAAUGAUACUCGACAUUAGAAAAGCUUUAGCCGACGAACUACACGAUAUUAUGCUAUGCUUAGGAUUGGGUCUUGUCCAUCACAACAUUCUCCUAAUGAUGUGACCCCGUUACCAAUGACAUCUAAUGUCCAUGAUCAAGAAAUCAUGAACAUCUAUUGAUCAACGAGCUAGCCAACUAGAGGCCCACGAGGGACAUGUUGUGGUCUAUAUAUUCACACAUGUAUUACGGUUUCCAUUUAAUAAAAUUAUAGCAUGAACUAUAGACAAUUAUAACGAACAAGGAAAUAUAAUAAUAACCAAUUUAUUAUUGCCUCUAGGGCAUAUUUCCAACAUGUGGUGGGGCUGUACACACCCCAGAGCCUCCCGGUGUGCCACCCCUUAGCAUCAGCAGAACUCCUGCCCACACCCAAGUGGAAGCCCCGUGCUACAUGCCGAUGGAAUGGUUGAAUCGCAACCAUGCCCAUGCCCAAGUGGAAGCCCCAUGCCCCCACACUAGUAGAACGAUCAAACUAUGAUCAUACCCACACCCAAGUGGAAGCCCCAUGCUCCCUUCUGGUGGAAAGUCAACUGAGAGCGCCCCACAGGCCGCGUUGACCUGAGGAUGAAUCGUGCGUGACACGACAGCUGUUGGCUUUCUUCCACGGCACUUGCUCGCCAGUUUCCGCUUGAGCCUCAUGCGAGCGGGGGCUGGAUACAGUUUGUGUGAUCAGGUUAGUCCCAACAGCGCUAAAAACCCCUAGGUACUAGGCUCUGGCUCACGGGCAUGCUCACGCGCACGUCACGCCACCAAGGCCCUUGGUGUCUGGUCUCCUUACAUGACACCCAAGUGCAAGCCGUCGAGAGCGCGUUGUAUGAAAUGAAGUUUUUGCGUGCAUGAUAUUUCCUCGGACUGGAUCACUCGAGGAGUCUCACAAGGCGUGUCCGGCAAGUGGCAAACUAUUGGCAUUGCAAAGGACUAAGUAUGAGAACACCCCCCCCCCCCGAGGGAAGCCUCGCCAUUGCUAAUGUUUUACCUCAUGCGGACCACUUGCGUGUCAAGGGGAGACUCAUGGGCAUCGCGCUUCAGGAGCCUUCACUAGCUCCCGGAGCCCAUCACCUCCAGCUUUGUCCAUGCACCGCGACUUGACAUACCAGCGACAGCUGUCGAUCACUUGGGGGCUGGGUCCCGGCAACAAAGAGAACUCGAGCAAGAAAGGGAGAAGGGGAGAACUACGCGAGGGGAACUCAGAAGUGGGCGCAUGGUUCAAAAUGCAAAGGCAUUGCUUGCAAAGGGCAACAAUUUUUCACACACCCCUCUCAGAGCUUACAUUGAUCCAUCGCAGGAUGGAAGAUGCCAUAAUAAAACACCCAAGAUGUGGUCCUAUCCUUAUUUUAGCUCGAGGACCUUGAUGGGGAUAGAAGCGCAUCUCGUCGUUUUGCAAGAAUGAAUAUCGUUACUAGUACAUGUACAAAAGAGAUGAUUAUAUGGAAUUGGCUUAGACUCGCCACAAUCUACAAUAUGAACAUCUCAAUACAGCAAUUGAACAUCAUGUAGAAGAGGAGGGUCCGACUACGGACGAAAACAAAUAAUAAAACAACGAUGUCUAUCAUUGCUAUCCCAGGCUACUGGCUUGGGACCCAUCCUAGAUAGAUGAAGAAAAGAAGAAGAAGAAACUCCAAAUAGAACAAUAAUCGCGCUCACGUCAAGUAUCGCUCUACCUGUACCUGAAACUCUUGUUGUAGUAAUCUAUGAGCCACAGGGACUCAACAAUCUCAUUUCCAAAGGUAUCAAGAUUAGAAAAGCUUAAUGGGUGAGGUAUGGUUAAGUGUUGAGGCUGCAACAAGCAACUAAGCAUUUAUUGAAGGUGGCUAAAUUAUGAGUACAAUAAUAAGAGGAGGAUGAUCUACACAUAAUAGAGGUGAACUAAACAUGAUCACAAAGUGAUCCAGAACACCUCCUUAUGUCAAACAUAACCCCGCGUGUCCAUUCUCGGAUACAGAGCUCAUGAGAAGAGACAAUCACGGUUACGCACACAAUUGGCAAGUUUUAAUUAAAUUUGUACUUCAGGUUUCUAUGACCGGGUGUUAAACCAAGUUUCCAUGUGGCCACAUAACCACGGGCAUGACUUUUCAAAAGAUUUAACCCAACACGGGUGCUCCAACUAGUCCAUCACAAACUACCACAAGCUGCGUGGAAUAAAUUCAACCACAGAAAACUCAUAGUCUCCUCAAAAUUCUGAUGAAAAACCUCAACCUCGAGAUAGCUCAAACUAUUCUCGGGAUUACUCGCACAAUACAUUCAAGAAAGGUAAAACAAAUCCAGCAAGACCGCCCGACGUGCCGACGAUCUCAAUAGGAGCCACAUAUCUCGUUCUCAGGGCACAAUCAGACGAGCUAGGCGUAUGGUGGCCUGAUAGAAAUCUCGUGAGUUGCCCCGAGUUGGCCCCACACGGUGCUCUGUUUAGGACCAGUACCAUCAGCACUGGCCCUCCCUCUAUUAUUUGAAUUACUCCUCGGGUUUAUGGCACCCUAUGUUUUAAUAACGGUGUUCAAUAUUAUUAUGUUGGGUAAAUAUAGUACCAAUGUUGGGCCUUGCCAGAAGAGUUUUAUCCCAAAAAGAAAGUCAAGGGGGUCCCCAUGACAACCCCAAGCAUGUUAGGAGUGUUCAAAUAUGGAAUAUAACACCGAUACACAAGUAGCUAGGCCGAUAAAGAUGGAACAAAACACCAUGCUAGAAGGCCAAGACUUCCACCUUUUACCAAGUGUAUAGAUGCAUUAAAUUAAUUAGCAAUAAUGUGGUGACAUUCAGAAUAAUAUCCAUGUUGUCACGUGGAAGCAACUCACUUGCAAUUAGCAACGCUAUAAGAAGGGCUAAGCAAGCGGUAACAUAGCCAAAUAGGGUUUGCUGGGUUGUGGAAGAGUCAGAGGCUUUUCAUGGCAAUGUUGGGAGGUUUGACAUAACAGGUGGUAGGCAAUGAGACAUAGCGAUAGAAAUAAAACAACUAGCAUGACAAUGAUAGUACUGGUAUCUAGGGAAAUAAUCAUCUAUCAUGUAUUCCCGCUUGGAAGAAGAACGGAUCCGUGAAACAGACGAACGAGCGCAGUCGAACAAAUCCGCGCAUUCCAAAGCUGUUUGGAACUCUACCGAGAAGAAACAAUCAGGAAAUAACAAUCAACACACAAUAAACACCACAACAUAUUCAUGACAUGAUGCAUAAACACAUAUGAUGCAUGUCCGAUUUAAAUAUGUGGGGCAUGAUAAUCUCAACAAUCAAAUACAACACAUUAACAGAAGCUCAAUAUGCAAAACGCCACAUUCAAAUCAUUUAGUUCACUCCCGUUUAGAUACACGACAAGUUUAAAUGUUGUUAAACAUGGUAAAAGGUGAAGCAUAAUUAAACUACACUAUCUAGGCAUUUUAAAUGAGGUCGGAAAAAACAUAUAGCAUUUCCGAAGCGACCCCAUAUGCGAAUUUCAUAAUUGGUCCAUAUCUGCCUAAAACAUGUUUUAUAUUUCUUAAAUAGCAAAAUAAAGUGGACAAUGUGCUUUUACAUGUCAUUAUAGUCGAUUUACAUAUAUAAAACAUCUAAGACGAAGCUACGCUCUAAAAGAUAAGACCAACACAAAAUAAUAUGAUCUGGAUGUAGAAUGUAUGCAAACAACAAAACUAACAUGUUAAAGCAUGGAUGCAACAAGAUAUUAUGGAACUACAUGAAAUUCUAGGCAAGUUAAAAUGAGGCCGUAAAAGCGAAUAACAAUUCUGAAAAGUUCUCAUAUGCAAAUUAAGAUUUUGGUACUUUUCUACCUAUAACACAAUUUUAGAGUCGUUAAACAAAAAAAAAUAAAUGUCACCAUGUUAUUCUACACAUUUUUCUAGUCAAGUUACAUAUGUGGAUCAUUUUAAUCGGAGCUAAGGUUAACUAAUUAUGAGACAAACCGUUAUUCACAUGGCAUUAUGCAAAUUAAAUGAAAACAACAAGUUAAAAAAAUUAAUCAUGGUUGAAAGUUACACAAAAUGCUAAGCAUUUUUCAUGUAUAUAAAGGUUUUUAAUUCGAUGCACGGUUAUUUAGUUGAGAGCAACGCAAAUUAAAGUCAUUUUUGUGGAAUCAUGAAGUACAUUGGACAAAUGACAAAUUCACAGCGAGUAAAAAAUGAUUUUGCCGGAUUGCAGCUUAGUGCAACAACCCACGUGUGGAAUCGGCCCAAGUGGCCAUGUGCUCGAUUGAAAAAAAGCCAGACGCAGAAAAACCAUUGAUCCCUCCUUGGAUUCGACCCCAAGAACUCAUGGAUCGGAUGUAGUUGGUUCUACUCUGCGCUACUGCGUGUGCUUGUGCAAAAAUGAGGGCGCUGCUUAUAUUAAACUAACACAACGGUCAAGACUUUCUCACCAUGAAUUCGUGACUAACAUAGCCAUGACGGAAGGCAACAACAACAGUUGCUGUUGACAGAGGGCUGGCGAGGGCAGUUGGGGAUGGACAGAUCCGAAGCUCCCCGGUAUGGAUCCGACCAAGCAUCAAGGCGACGCGUCGAGCUGGAGGUGCAGGAGGCCAUCAAUGGCUGUGGGGUAAACGCAGCCCGGCGGAGUGGCGAAGGUGUAUGGUGGUGCGAAGAGGAGGCGGCACGGGGUGGGUGAGCGGGAACCAAGCCGGAUCUGGUCGGUGGCGCGUUGAAGGACGCCCGGGCCGUCGCGGGUGGAGCUCCCCUUGGGCAUCCAUAGCGCCUGCAGGAUAGAAGAGAGAGAAGGGGAGGUUAGCGAGAGAGGGAGAAGAAGGGGAGGAAGGAAGAGAGGAGGAGGAGGAUGAUGAGGUCCUUCCCUGGCAGUGGUCUCCAUAGAGGUCGCGCUGAUGGGGUUCGAUGGCUCUACUCGCCGACGCUAGUGCUAGAGGGCGAGGCAUGGCUUGCUCGGAGCAGAGCGCGGCCGCUUGCGUGGCUGCGGGAGCUUCGAUCCUGUGGUCGCACGGACGAAGCAAGCUGCGGGCGGCUGGACGCGUCCAUGCGCAGCAGGGGCUGGCUGCGUGAUGCGGUUGGCUGGGAUGUAUCCCGAGGAAGAUGCGGCUAGCGGCGGCGGGAUGGGAUAAAGGGGAGGAUUUCUAGGGUUGUCCAAAAUAGGUCUAGGUUUUGAAAAUAAAUAUCAGGGUUUCUGCGAUCUAAAUCGGAAGGUCGAGGUUAAAUAUGUAAGAGGGCAAUUGAAAAACCGAUCAUGGUUUGGCGUAUUACGGAGUAGAUCCGGACCCAACGAUUAUGACAGUAUGUUUCGUGUUUUGGGGUGUUUUCGGGCUUGAUUGCGCAUAGGGUAUGUGCAUUGUGUAGAUGGUCUAUGCAUAGAAGAAAGAGAAAAUGGGCAGCUCGAUAUCAGAUUUUUGAACACCGAAAAUGUCUCACCUUUCGUCGGCUAUAGUAUCACUAUAGGUUUAACGAUUGGGAUAUCAAAUGGACUCCGAAUGCGAAAAAAUUUGGCACACGGUCUACCUACAAUCUAUUGAGACCGCACGCCAACUUUCAACCCAUUCCGAGAAUGUUUUAUACACACU